AGUGGCGGACGGGUGAGUAACGCGUGAGAAUCUGCCCUUUGGAUGGGGAUAACGACUGGAAACGGUCGCUAAUACCCAAUAUGCCGAGAGGUGAAACUUAUAUGGCCAGAGGAUGAGCUCGCGUCUGAUUAGCUAGUUGGAGUGGUAACGGCACACCAAGGCGACGAUCAGUAGCUGGUCUGAGAGGAUGAUCAGCCACACUGGGACUGAGACACGGCCCAGACUCCUACGGGAGGCAGCAGUGGGGAAUUUUCCGCAAUGGGCGAAAGCCUGACGGAGCAAGACCGCGUGAGGGAGGAAGGCCUACUGGUUGUAAACCUCUUUUGAUAGGGAAGAAGAAAGUGACGGUACCUAUCGAAUCAGCAUCGGCUAACUCCGUGCCAGCAGCCGCGGUAAUACGGAGGAUGCAAGCGUUAUCCGGAAUCAUUGGGCGUAAAGCGUCCGUAGGUGGUUAUUCAAGUCAGCUGUCAAAGGAUGGAGCUUAACUCCAUAAAGGCAGUUGAAACUGUGUAGCUAGAGUGCGAUAGGGGCAAGGGGAAUUCCCAGUGUAGCGGUGAAAUGCGUAGAUAUUGGGAAGAACAUCGGUGGCGAAAGCGCCUUGCUGGGUCUGCACUGACACUGAGGGACGAAAGCUAGGGGAGCGAAAGGGAUUAGAUACCCCUGUAGUCUUAGCUGUAAACGAUGGAUACUAGGCGUUG
This 698-nucleotide ribosomal RNA is filed under the name uncultured Oscillatoriales cyanobacterium. Its description in RNAcentral is "bacterial SSU rRNA". It matches the Rfam family "Bacterial small subunit ribosomal RNA", at positions 94 to 825 of the family's 1533-position model. Lineage: Bacteria; Bacillati; Cyanobacteriota; Cyanophyceae; Oscillatoriales. The record is from RNAcentral.